UGAGCUCCAGAUUGGGACAGAGGAAAGCAGCAUGAUUUAAUGUGAUGCAUUUACUUGUNUGGUGUGUGGGGGUAUUUAAGAGGGAUUUGCAACCAAUGUUUUGAGCCCAGCUUGCUGGUACCCAAACAUUGUUAACAUUUUUUAUYUGGGAUAUUCGAGUACGGCUUACGUGCAUUUUUUGUAUUGAUCUAAGUGCAAGUUACGGUCGCAUGCGACACGUGCUUUUCAUUUAGUUCGGUGCAGUUAAUGCUCUCGUACUCUCCCCCCAUGUAAAAGCCGGUCAUCUAUUUGACCCGUCUUGAAACACGGACCAAGGAGUUUAUCGUGUGCGCAAGUUUUUGGGUGUUAAAAACCUAGAAGCGAAAUGAAAGUAAAUGAUUCUUUAGAGUCUGAUGUGCAAUCUUUUUUCAGAAAAGUGCAUCAUGGCCCCAUUCUAACUGUUUACAGUAGGGUGGCGGAAGAGCGUACGCGGUGAGACCCGAAAGAUGGUGAACUAUUCCUGAGCAGGACGAAGCCAGAGGAAACUCUGGUGGAAGUCCGAAGCGGUUCUGACGUGCAAAUCGAUCGU
Molecule: ribosomal RNA, 568 nt
Filed under: Meloidogyne hapla
Lineage: Eukaryota; Metazoa; Nematoda; Chromadorea; Rhabditida; Meloidogynidae
Description: LSU rRNA
Rfam family: Eukaryotic large subunit ribosomal RNA
Source: RNAcentral